UACGUAGGGUGCAAGCGUUAUCCGGAAUUAUUGGGCGUAAAGAGCUCGUAGGCGGCUUGUCGCGUCGAAUGUGAAAACCUGCAGCUCAACUGCAGGCUUGCAUUCGAUAACGGGCAGGCGUCGAGUUCGGUGAGGGAGACGUGGAAUUCCUGGAUGUAGCGGUGAAAUGACGCCAGAUAGUCAGGAGGAACACCGGUGGCGAAGCGGGUCUCUGGGCCGAUACUGACGCUGGAGGAGCGAAAGCGUGGGGAGCGAACAGG
This 260-nucleotide ribosomal RNA is filed under the name uncultured bacterium. Its description in RNAcentral is "partial 16S ribosomal RNA". It matches the Rfam family "Bacterial small subunit ribosomal RNA", at positions 524 to 776 of the family's 1533-position model. The record is from RNAcentral.